GAACGCUGGCGGCGUGCUUAACACAUGCAAGUCGAACGAAGCACCCUCAUCCGUGGAAGGGAGUAGCUUGCUACGAACGGACACACCCGAGGGUGGACUGAGUGGCGGACGGGUGAGUAACGCGUGGGUAACCUGCCCCAUAGAGGGGGACGAACAGUUAGAAAUGACUGCUAAUACCGCAUAGUAAGAUAGAUCCGCAUGCUUCUAUCUUGAAAGCUUUUGCGCUAUGGGAUGGACCCGCGUCUGAUUAGCUAGUUGGUGAGGUAACGGCCCCACCAAGGCGACGAUCAGUAGCCGGCUUGAGAGAGUGAACGGCCACAUUGGGACUGAGACACGGCCCAAACUCCUACGGGAGGCAGCAGUGGGGAAUAUUGCACAAUGGGGGGAAAAACCCCCUGAUGCAGCGACGCCGCGUGGAGGAAGAAGGUUUUCGGAUUGUAAACUCCUGUCUUAAAGGACGAUAAUGACGGUACUUUAGGAGGAAGCUCCGGCUAACUACGUGCCAGCCGCCGC
This 513-nucleotide ribosomal RNA is filed under the name uncultured bacterium. RNAcentral's name for it is "bacterial SSU rRNA". It matches the Rfam family "Bacterial small subunit ribosomal RNA", at positions 31 to 518 of the family's 1533-position model. The record is from RNAcentral.